RNAcentral lists this ribosomal RNA (274 nucleotides) under uncultured bacterium. RNAcentral describes it as "partial 16S ribosomal RNA". It matches the Rfam family "Bacterial small subunit ribosomal RNA", at positions 523 to 796 of the family's 1533-position model. The record is from RNAcentral.
AUACGGGGGGCGCAAGCGUUGUCCGGAAUCACUGGGCGUAAAGCGCACGUAGGCGGCCAGGUCAGUCACCUGUGAAAUCCCGGAGCUCAACUUCGGGCCUGCAGGUGAUACUGCGUGGCUAGAGCAUGGUAGAGGCAAGUGGAAUUCCCGGUGUAGCGGUGGAAUGCGUAGAUCUCGGGAAGAACACCAGUGGCGAAGGCGACUUGCUGGGCCAUUGCUGACGCUGAGGUGCGAAAGCGUGGGUAGCAAACAGGAUUAGAAACCCCAGUAGUCC